This 381-nucleotide ribosomal RNA is filed under the name Theileria annulata. RNAcentral's name for it is "SSU rRNA". It matches the Rfam family "Eukaryotic small subunit ribosomal RNA", at positions 506 to 924 of the family's 1831-position model. The record is from RNAcentral. Lineage: Eukaryota; Apicomplexa; Aconoidasida; Piroplasmida; Theileriidae.
GUAUUGGAAUGAUGGGAAUUUAAACCUCUUCCAGAGUAUCAAUUGGAGGGCAAGUCUGGUGCCAGCAGCCGCGGUAAUUCCAGCUCCAAUAGCGUAUAUUAAAAUUGUUGCAGUUAAAAAGCUCGUAGUUGAAUUUCUGCUGCAUUGCUUGUGUCCCUCUGGGGUCUGUGCAUGUGGCUUUUUUCGGACGGAGUUUCUUUGUCUGAAUGUUUACUUUGAGAAAAUUAGAGUGCUCAAAGCAGGCUUUCGCCUUGAAUAGUUUAGCAUGGAAUAAUAAAGUAGGACUUUGGUUCUAUUUUGUUGGUUUUAGGUACCAAAGUAAUGGUUAAUAGGAACAGUUGGGGGCAUUCGUAUUUAACUGUCAGAGGUGAAAUUCUUAGA